RNAcentral lists this long non-coding RNA (1100 nucleotides) under Phasianus colchicus (ring-necked pheasant). RNAcentral describes it as "lncRNA (ENSPCLG00000020810.1)". Lineage: Eukaryota; Metazoa; Chordata; Aves; Galliformes; Phasianidae. The record is from RNAcentral.
AGGCAAAACACCAUUCCAAGAUGCUGAAAGUUUUGAGCGAAUAAAAGCUUUCAGGUUUGAGCUAAAAGCAAUAAUUUUGGAACAGACACCUUAAGGAAUAUGAACCUCUCCUGACAAGGGGCUGUGACAUAAGGUGCUCUUAUGAUGCCAUGCUACACUGUCUCAGCAACAAUCUGUCACAGGCUGCAUUCAUGAGCCAACCACAGCUGACAGUGGCUGAGGAACAGAAAUGAAACAACUACCUACCUCUUCAAAUUAGGCACUACAGAGUUUACCUCUUCAUCCUUCACUACUACAGCAUUCCCUCAUCUCACUUGCACAUUAGAAGCCUGUGUUUGAAAUGCUUACUCCUUUUCCAUGCAGGAGCUUUAAUACCACAGGAGAACAUGUGCGUUCAGUAUGCCUUCUGUUCUGCCAGGGCCGUUCACCAGGACAUGCUGAGGACACUUUAAAUUUAGGAACAGGGAACUUCUGCAGUCAGACCAAGACAGAUUACUCAUGACAUCAGCCCCUCCCUCUCACUCCCAUCUCCCUCCUCCUUUUUCCUACUGGUGGAGAUGCAUUUUCACAACAUGCAGACCUUCCUGUCCAAUAAACCUCUUCUUCUAUCAAGAUGAGAACCUUAAAAGGAUGGUAUUUUUGGAGAAUGCUAACUCACACUACAUACUCCUCAUGAACUGGCACUGUGCAAGACCACUGAAGCUUCUGCAUAAACCCACGCAACAGCUUUCUAAAGCAUCCACAGUGAAUCUGGUAGGUCUGGAGUCCCAAGAGCUUCUACUCAACGAAACAUGACUAUCUCCAAUUUCCUUCUCAGCAUCUGUAAUUGUCCUAAGUCAGAACCCUGGGAGCCAAAAAAAAAAAAAAAGAAAAAACACAACAAAACAACACAGACCAAUCGGAGCUAUACAAAAACUGUGGUGUAUGAAGGAAGAAAAGAGGGGGCCAUGCAAUGAUGGGAGUAAAGGAUCAAGGGAGAGAAGGCAAGAGAUUUAUUCAGCAUUUCCUUGUCUGUCUCCUCCACAAACUGAAUCACAGAAGCAUGAAAGUAGAUGUAUUGAAUCUCAAAGGAAAUAAAAGAAGUGGAAAAUUAACUACUG